AAAGCUCAAUUUGAAAUCUCCGAGGGGUCCCUCGGCGAAUUGUAGUUUAGAGAACUGUUAUCGAUGCUUAGAGUCCACCUAAGUCACUUGGAAAAGUGCGUCUUAGAGGGUGAGAACCCCGUGCGGUGGCGCUUUAGAUUAAGCACAUACGAGGCAGUCUCGACGAGUCGGGUUGUUUGGGAUUGCAGCCCCAAAUGGGUGGUAAAUUUCAUCUAAAGCUAAAUAUUGGCACGAGACCGAUAGCGAACAAGUACUGUGAAGGAAAGAUGAAAAGCACUUUGAAAAGAGAGUUAAAAGUACGUGAAACCGUUAAAAGGGAAGCGAUUGAAGUCAGCAGUGGAUUUGUUGAGAACAGCGGUGCGGCCUUUUUCUGUGAGUUGGUGCGGAGCGUAAGCCCAAUGCCGACUUUCGAGGAACGCAGUGUGUAUGCUCGACACGAUCCUUGUCAACAUCUAUUCUUCGGGCGAGAGAGGAGUUUGUGGAAGGUAGCUUUUGUUUGGUCAUUUAUGAUUGGAGAAAAGUGUUACAGCCAUUGGCUUGUGUCGCCUUGAGGAUGGAUCAAUUUUUAUAUAUGCGCAGCCGAAUUUACUCAACGUGAAGUUUUGUGGUGUGAUAGUCGGAUUACACGUAAUGCGAUUUGAGCAGUAUAGAGGUGAGCGAGCGGAUAGAUCGGCUUUGUGUUGACGAAAUGGCUUUAACCGACCCGUCUAGAAACACGGACCAAGGAGUCUAACAUAUGCGCGAGUCUUAGGGUGUCAAACCACUGAGGCGGAAUGAAAGUGAAAGGUGAGACCUUGUUUUAAACGGCUUGGGCAUCAUCGACCGAUCUGGAUAUUCUUUGAAAGAUUUGAGUUAGAGCGUAUCUGUUGGGACCCGAAAGAUGGUGAACUAUGCCUGAAUAGGGUGAAGUCAGAGGAAACUCUGAUGGAAGCUUGUAGCGGUUCUGACGUGCAAAUCGAUCGUCAAAUUUGGGUAUAGGGGCGAAAGACUAAUCGAACCAUCUAGUAGCUGGUUCCCACCGAAGUUUCCCUCAGGAUAGCUGGAACUUUUGACAGUUUUAUCAGGUAAAGCGAAUGAUUAGAGGCCUUGGGCGCGAAACGCACUCAACCUAUUCUCAAACUUUAAAUAGGUAAGAAGCCCGACUUGCUUAAGUGAAGCCGUGGCACUGAAUGUGAGUUCCAAGUGGGCCAUUUUUGGUAAGCAGAACUGGCGAUGCGGGAUGAACCGAAACGCGGGAGUUAAGGCGCCAAAAUCGACGCUCAUCAGACCCCAG
Molecule: ribosomal RNA, 1273 nt
Filed under: Diaphanoeca grandis
Lineage: Eukaryota; Choanoflagellata; Acanthoecida; Stephanoecidae
Description: eukaryotic LSU rRNA
Rfam family: Eukaryotic large subunit ribosomal RNA
Source: RNAcentral